UACGUAGGGGGCAAGCGUUGUCCGGAUUUAUUGGGUGUAAAGAGCGUGUAGGCGGCCAUACAGGUCCGUUGUGAAAACUGGAGGCUUAACCUCCAGACGUCGAUGGAAACCGUAUGGCUAGAGUCCGGAAGAGGAGAGUGGAAUUCCUGGUGUAGCGGUGAAAUGCGCAGAUAUCAGGAAGAACACCCGUGGCGAAGGCGGCUCUCUGGGACGGUACUGACGCUGAGACGCGAAAGCGUGGGGAGCGAACAGG
This 253-nucleotide ribosomal RNA is filed under the name uncultured bacterium. RNAcentral's name for it is "partial 16S ribosomal RNA". It matches the Rfam family "Bacterial small subunit ribosomal RNA", at positions 524 to 776 of the family's 1533-position model. The record is from RNAcentral.